UACGUAGGGUGCAAGCGUUAAUCAGAAUUACUGGGCGUAAAGCGUGCGCAGGCGGCGCGUUAAGACAGGUGUGAAAGCCCCGAGCUUAACUUGGGAAUUGCGCUUGUGACUGGCGGGCUGGAGUGUGGCAGAGGGAGGUGGAAUUCCACGUGUAGCAGUGAAAUGCGUAGAGAUGUGGAGGAACACCGAUGGCGAAGGCAAUCCCCUGGACCUGUACUGACGCUCAUGCACGAAAGCGUGGGGAGCAAACAGG
RNAcentral lists this ribosomal RNA (253 nucleotides) under uncultured bacterium. RNAcentral describes it as "partial 16S ribosomal RNA". It matches the Rfam family "Bacterial small subunit ribosomal RNA", at positions 524 to 776 of the family's 1533-position model. The record is from RNAcentral.